AUUCCAUGGUGAGGACACCUUCGCAGUAGGUCCUUGUAUCUCUCCCAUGCAUCGUAAAGAGUUUUAAAGUCCAUCUGCAUAAAACGAAGAGAUAUCAUUACGUAAUU
RNAcentral lists this small nucleolar RNA (107 nucleotides) under Gossypium arboreum. RNAcentral describes it as "Plant small nucleolar RNA R71". It matches the Rfam family "Plant small nucleolar RNA R71". Rfam says of the family: R71 is a member of the C/D box family of snoRNAs containing the C (UGAUGA) and D (CUGA) box motifs. The record is from Rfam by way of RNAcentral. Lineage: Eukaryota; Viridiplantae; Streptophyta; Magnoliopsida; Malvales; Malvaceae.